AGUGAACGCUGGCGGUAGGCCUAACACAUGCAAGUCGAACGGCAGCACAGUAAGAGCUUGCUCUUACGGGUGGCGAGUGGCGGACGGGUGAGGAAUACAUCGGAAUCUACUUUUUCGUGGGGGAUAACGUAGGGAAACUUACGCUAAUACCGCAUACGACCUACGGGUGAAAGCAGGGGAUCUUCGGACCUUGCGCGAUUGAAUGAGCCGAUGUCGGAUUAGCUAGUUGGCGGGGUAAAGGCCCACCAAGGCGACGAUCCGUAGCUGGUCUGAGAGGUUGAUCGGCCACACUGGAACUGAGACACGGUCCAGACUCCUACGGGAGGCAGCAGUGGGGAAUAUUGGACAAUGGGCGCAAGCCUGAUCCAGCCAUACCGCGUGGGUGAAGAAGGCCUUCGGGUUGUAAAGCCCUUUUGUUGGGAAAGAAAAGCAGCAGGUUAAUACCCCGCUGUUCUGACGGUACCCAAAGAAUAAGCACCGGCUAACUUCGUG
Molecule: ribosomal RNA, 492 nt
Filed under: uncultured bacterium
Lineage: Bacteria
Description: partial 16S ribosomal RNA
Rfam family: Bacterial small subunit ribosomal RNA
Source: RNAcentral